RNAcentral lists this ribosomal RNA (436 nucleotides) under Blastocystis sp. RNAcentral's name for it is "SSU rRNA". It matches the Rfam family "Eukaryotic small subunit ribosomal RNA", at positions 511 to 953 of the family's 1831-position model. The record is from RNAcentral. Lineage: Eukaryota; Bigyra; Opalinata; Blastocystidae.
GGAUUGAGAACAACGUACAAACCUUAUCGAUAAACAAUUGGAGGGCAAGUCUGGUGCCAGCAGCCGCGGUAAUUCCAGCUCCAAUAGCGUAUAUUAACGUUGUUGCAGUUAAAAAGCUCGUAGUUGAAAUGAAGGGUAGUUGUGUAAUGAAUACAUUCGUGUAUUUUGUUAUUCUACUACCCUCCUUCUAAAUUCGAUAUAUGAGUAUUAAUUUACUUGUAUAUGGUUUUAGACGUUUACUGUGAGAAAAUUAGAGUGUUCAAAGCAGGCAUUUGCUUGAAUAUAUUAGCAUGGAAUAAUCAUGUAUGAUUUUCAUGAUGUAUUUGAUUGGUUUGGUUCAUGAGAAUAAGAUUAAAAGGGACAGUUGGGGGUAUUCAUAUUCAAUAGUCAGAGGUGAAAUUCUCGGAUUUAUGGAAGAUGAACAAGUGCGAAAGCA